Non-coding RNA from Anaerolineaceae bacterium 4572_5.2, 117 nucleotides. The record is from Rfam. Lineage: Bacteria; Bacillati; Chloroflexota; Anaerolineae; Anaerolineales; Anaerolineaceae.
UUUGGUGAUUGGAGCGGUGAGGAUACACCCGGUAACAUCUCGAACCCGGCAGUUAAGCUCACUAGCGCUGAUGGUACUUGGGGGGCGACCCCCCGGGAGAGUAGGUCAUCGCCAAAG